AGAGUUUGAUCCUGGCUCAGGAUGAACGCUGGCGGCGUGCCUAAUACAUGCAAGUCGAGCGAACAGACGAGGAGCUUGCUCCUCUGACGUUAGCGGCGGACGGGUGAGUAACACGUGGAUAACCUACCUAUAAGACUGGGAUAACUUCGGGAAACCGGAGCUAAUACCGGAUAAUAUAUUGAACCGCAUGGUUCAAUAGUGAAAGACGGUUUUGCUGUCACUUAUAGAUGGAUCCGCGCCGCAUUAGCUAGUUGGUAAGGUAACGGCUUACCAAGGCAACGAUGCGUAGCCGACCUGAGAGGGUGAUCGGCCACACUGGAACUGAGACACGGUCCAGACUCCUACGGGAGGCAGCAGUAGGGAAUCUUCCGCAAUGGGCGAAAGCCUGACGGAGCAACGCCGCGUGAGUGAUGAAGGUCUUCGGAUCGUAAAACUCUGUUAUUAGGGAAGAACAAAUGUGUAAGUAACUAUGCACGUCUUAACGGUACCUAAUCAGAAAGCCACGGCUAACUACGUGCCAGCAGCCGCGGUAAUACGUAGGUGGCAAGCGUUAUCCGGAAUUAUUGGGCGUAAAGCGCGCGUAGGUGGUUUUUUAAGUCUGAUGUGAAAGCCCACGGCUCAACCGUGGAGGGUCAUUGGAAACUGGAAAACUUGAGUGCAGAAGAGGAAAGUGGAAUUCCAUGUGUAGCGGUGAAAUGCGCAGAGAUAUGGAGGAACACCAGUGGCGAAGGCGACUUUCUGGUCUGUAACUGACGCUGAUGUGCGAAAGCGUGGGGAUCAAACAGGAUUAGAUACCCUGGUAGUCC
Molecule: ribosomal RNA, 806 nt
Filed under: uncultured bacterium
Lineage: Bacteria
Description: bacterial SSU rRNA
Rfam family: Bacterial small subunit ribosomal RNA
Source: RNAcentral